ACAAGAGGGCUAUCAGUUGGCAGCACUUGCAGUAGCUGGGGGAUAAGUCCUUCAGUCCUGAAGGAGCAUCUGGGCAGCUCAUCACAGAAUCUACAAUGGUCCAUCUUUUGUGCCACUCAAAUCCACUUCUUAUAGGUUCUGGAAGCAGCUCCUCCCCAUGACUGCUUCAUUUUCCAUUUACUGUCAAAAUUGACUAAAUGGGUACCAAGGGACACCCAAGUAAAUUACCUGGUGCCAAAGGCACUCCUCCCUGCCCCUGACUGACAGCAGCCGUACCUCCUCCCUGCUGAUUAGGGUCACUUACCCCUGCCAGGGUAGUGAGCCACUUCUUGAUUUCUGGCCCCUUGGCACAAAAAACCCAAAGUGCCCUGGUGGCAGCUGCAGCUUAGAAUUCAAUGGGACUCCCUGUGAUCUCUGGGAGGACUUCCCCUUUAGAGAACUAGGACUUCUAAACACACAGAGCUCAGUGCUUCAGAAAUGGAAGCAAGAACUCCCCAAGAAGGUCACAGAGUGAUGGUAUGUGGAGCUUUCUAGACCCACGUAUUCUACCCACAGGGGAUGCAACCCCUUCAAAGGGGAACCUGGGAUGCACAGAUGAGAUUCUGCACACACAACUCAAGACUGGAGCAGCAAUAGUUUAACUAACAUCAUUUAAUGUGUAUCACAACAUUUUUGGGAAAGGUUCCUCUGGGAGCACAAUACACUGUCCUAAGUAGGACUCUGAAGUCAUCUUGUAUUCUGAAAAGGUGCAGGUGUGCUCCCUGCUCAGGUGACAUUGAGCUGCAAGCUUCUCCAUGGUUUAUACCUUUUUCUACAUACUUCUAUGGCUUCCUAUUGUACACACUCAUUCCCUCUCUCUCUUUCACACACGCACACACACACACACACGCACACGCUCACAAACACACACUAGCAAUGGAGUAGAGUUUGACCCCAGCCUGCUACCUAGGGUUGAGACUUCCGUUUGAGCCCCAGCCCCUCUCCGGGGGUUGCUCUACCCUGAGCAAACCCAGGCCAUUCCUUAGGGUGUCGAGAAAGCAAGGAAGGGGCUGGCUGUUAGAGUCUUGAGAAAGCCAUUGGAGAAGAAAACACAACUUUCCCACUUGGUGACAAGAUUUUCUGCUUUCUAUUUUAUUAGAUGUCUCAGCUACAAGGAAAAACACAACAGGCCUUAGUUGAGUCUCAUUCAGAGUAGAAUUAAGAGGCCUCCUGUGUAAUUUUCUUCCAGGGCCUUACAGGCUCCAGCAAUGCCUCUACUUCUCUGCUUCCAGCUUCUUUUUUGCCAAAGCCCCACGGAGCAGAGGCCUCCCAGGCCCCAGCAGGAGAUGACCUCAGCCUCAGCUUUCUCUUCUGAGAGGCUGCUCCUCCUGUCUCUGAGCUGUGGCCCCCUGCACUGGGCUCUGGUGGGGAAGGUGCACUUUUAAGGCUCCAGGUAUUUUUAAUCACUGUGUGUUUAUGGGAACAGGGCACGGGGCUCUGUGGUGAUUUUUCUUUUCUUUUCCUGCAUCAUCUGCUGGGCAGGAGUUCCAGGCUGUAUAUUUAUGGGAGACCCUAGUGGAUUCGGAGAGGACAGUGACACACUGAUCUUCCUUGGGGGCCUAGAGGCUUUUCUGCUCUUCCCAGACUGUUGCCCUGUACCCGGGACACCUUCCAGAGGGAAUCACUGAGCUGUGCAAAGAAGAGGGGGACGUGGUGGCAGAGCCUCUCAAGCACUGGCUUCUAACCUGGGGGGGUCACCCCACUCCUGCAAGUAUGCCCAAAAUGUCUCUUGUGGCACAUCUAUGCCUUCCUCAACCUGGGAAACUGCUAAGCCCGGGGCUACAGAAGGAAGGAUCUGAGAGACAGAGACGCCACCACAGUCCCGGCCACGUGGGAUCACCCAACAAAUACUCAUCAAGUAAACGAUACUCCUGGCUGAUGUGGAUGACCUGUGGCUGACUCUGUAUGUGUGCUUCUUUUCAUUCCAGCCCCACCUACAGCCCAGUGGCCCCCAAAGAAAUGUCAGUGAGCUGCUGUGUGGGCCUUAGAAGCUGGCCUGCACUUGACUGACCUCCUCCCGCCCCAGGCCUUCGGGAUGUUUUUGCAGGGUGCUUACCAGUCUGGGCACAGCCUAGAGCUGUGCCAGUAAUCCUGCUGUUGGCACACAGGUGUGAAAAGAACAGAAAGCAGACAUCACUGUCUGCUGAUUUAAUUUUUGCUCUCAGAGCAGCCAGGAUUGGAUCUGGAAAGCUCCUAAUGGCAGGCCUGUCCCUGGAACAAGGGCAGACGCUGUGAGCUUUACAAAGGAGGCUGACAGGCUGAGACUGACAGGAACCAGCCAGUCGGGACAGAAUCCACUGGGUUUGGCUUCCUUUUCUUUCUUUCCACAGGGGUGGGGGGUAGAACUCAGAAGAACUCCACUGCUGGCCCUGAGGAGCCUGAAGCCAGAAUCGGAGUAGGACACAGCUGGGCAUCCCUUCAGGGGAAGCUGAGCUGUGCGUCGCAAUGGCCAAAAAGUGUGUGUCCUUUUUAUUUAUUCAUGCAACAAACAUUUAUCAUUAAUUCACUCCACAAACAUUUAUUAAGCACUUAUUGUUUGCCUAUUGUGUCUCCCCUGGGGACACAAGGUGAAUUGGUCAAACGCCCACAGAACUUCCCAGAACUUUUGUUCUCUGUUACCCUUCAGCAGGGGCUUGUGCCUGCCCAUGAGAUUAUCGCGCAGAAGAAGACUUUAUGGCCACCGUGUCUACUUGAGCAUUGUGUAGAAUUUGAACCCAGGCCCGAGGUGCCUCCAGAGAUGGCCCUGGAAGACCCCAGUGAAGAGGUGUGGUCCUGUGAGCAUCCUCUCGGGCAAUCUUGGUUGCCCCAGGACCUCUUGGCCUGUUAUAGCACACAGAACCACCCCAUGGAUGACUUCCUGAUGGAUGAUGAUUGUCCUGAUAUCUUGGCUCCGAUGGCAUUGUGCAGCCUCAGCAGGUCACACAGAUACUAAAACCAUGCAAAUCCUACAUGUCAAUGAGGGGAGAGGCGAAGGGGAAAUUGUAAAACAAAAGGGAGCAGAGGUUAUCACUGGUAGAAACACAGAGUGAGAGAAGGCUGCAUGCUAUUUAAUGCAAAGGAAAAGUGGAAGAAAUAGUCACCGGAGCAGAGUUAACACCAGAGCCCACUCUCUAAGCAGAGAGCUCAGGAAAGCCAUCUAAAUUCUGAUGGGAAACAUCCUUACCUCAAUAUAAAACACCUAAUAGAGCUGGGACAAAUAAGGUUCUUGACAAAUAGAUGUUACUUGUAGUAGGAGCAGGGGUUUGGUAACAUCGUCAUCAUCAUCAUCAUCCCCCAUCACAGAGGACAAGAGUUCAUGAAGAUCAUCUCUUCUCUGAAGGCUGGGGUCAGGAAGAGCCUAUCUGCUCCAGUGACAGUGAGAGAGGAGCCUGGCCACAGCAGAGGCCAGGCCUGGCAGUUUCCAUGUGGAGGUUGGAAGAAUUUGAACAUCAAACUGAGCCUUCAUCUACAGUCACUGGGGUGACAUUGGGCAUUGUUGAGAGAACAAACAUUGUGAUUAAAAAUGACACAAAGGGAGCCCUGUAGUGAUAGACGAUUGUGAGUGUUUAAAUGAAGAAGGGGAGGGGUCAAGAAGACUAAUCGGAAAAAAAAAUGAAGUGCUACGUCCUGAUGACAACUUUGUUUUGUUUUGUUCAAAUUGCUUUUAUUACUUAUCAAUGGCAGUUUCUUAUAAAAUUUGAGAUGACAUUCACAA
Molecule: long non-coding RNA, 3733 nt
Organism: Homo sapiens (human)
Lineage: Eukaryota; Metazoa; Chordata; Mammalia; Primates; Hominidae
Exons: 2
Source: RefSeq, a predicted model, not a curated record